UAUUUUCUAGAAUACUCGUUAAGCUCUUAUUUUGAACCUACAUUACAUCAAAGGGAGUUCAAUACUUAGGAGUGGAUAUGUAGUUUCAUGUGAGACCUUUUACGGCAUUGAAAGUGAUUGAAGCAUCUGUGAGAGCACCCACCUAUCGAGAGAUAGGUGUCAAAAUAGAGUACCGGUAUUUUGGAUAUUAA
This 191-nucleotide non-coding RNA is filed under the name Bacillota bacterium. Its description in RNAcentral is "6S RNA". It matches the Rfam family "6S / SsrS RNA". Rfam says of the family: E. coli 6S RNA was the first non coding RNA to be sequenced, but its function was unknown until recently. It consists of 184 nucleotides that fold into an extended hairpin structure with a large single-stranded internal bulge. The 6S RNA specifically associates with RNA polymerase holoenzyme containing the sigma70 specificity factor. Lineage: Bacteria; Bacillati; Bacillota. The record is from RNAcentral.